UAAAAGGCAUUGUGGAUUCUGCCUUGCUCUCUCUUGGAUCACUUGCUCUGGGAGAAGCCAGCUGCCAUGCCACGAGGACACUCAAGCAGCUUGAUGGAGAAGUCUACCUAGUGAGGAACUGAGGUCUCCUGCCAACAACCAGCAAGGAAUUGAGGCCUUCUGCCAACAGCUAUCUGUCUAACAGUGGAAUGAAUGGUGCCACCUGGAGCAGAAGCAGAGAGUUCCCUGUGUUCAACUAGGAGGACCCCCGCCUCUCAGGGAUACUGUAAAGGAACCUAGCUCAAAACCACUUCUCUGCCAGAAGUGCUCUCCAGGAAUUCUGGCCCGUGAAUAUCCUUCUUACUCAGUUAUUUUACGAUGUGAACAACUCCAUCUUGAAAUAAAUUGAACUGGGGAAAACUGGAAGUCUGGACUCUAGAGAGGUGUCUCCAGAGAGACAUGAAGAAUGACGGAGACACAGAGACCUCAGAAAAAAUUAGACAAUAUGGACACUAUGCUUCCUCAACGGGAAUUUUCUAAGGACUUAAAAACCAGUCCUUUGUCACUUCAAGUCAAGCUAUUGAUAUAGCUUUGGGCUUGUGGAUGUGUUAUUCAUGUUCUUGCUCAUCCCAUGGAAGUUGUGAAAUAAGGAAUAAACAUCAAUUCACAAGAAGAAUAAUGGCUGAUGAUCUGGUGGAUGAGCAGCUGAGCAACUGUGAUGCGCGCCAAAAGAGUCAAAAGUCAACUCUUCUUAAAGCACCACCAUCCACAUUAAUAUGACAGACCAGAAUAACUCUGAGGGAGCCAUUAUGAUCCAUUACGAAAAUAACAUUCAUUUGCAAAAUGAGGAACAUACCAAAAUGCAAGUGGUUCCAGUUCUUUCAGCUAAAUUACACAUUAAGCAAGCAGACUUCCUCUUCCAACAUUUUGAAACGGUUUAAUAUGCACUCGGGCUGGCCAGGGCCUAGAUUUUCUAAGACCGCCCCAAAGGUGAAGCCUCGAAAAAUGAGGACUGAUUGAUUGCCAGAGAGUCAGUCAGCCCCGCUGGUGUGUUGGUCAGGUGAAGCAUGACUGUGCUUUGAAAUUUCUCCUAGGGGACAGGAAUGAUACCACGUAGGAGCUGUGAAUCCCAGCUGGCUUCAUCCAAGAGCUUAUUGGCUGCUCCCCUCCAGUGGUUUGUUGGUUAGAACUCGGGGAUGAAGUGUAGUGGACGUUUGUUGUCUUUGCCUUUCGAGCAUUCAUUCAUACCUUCUUCUCAUAACAGUUCCUUGAAUUUCCUUUGGGAGGCUUCCCUUCCCUAUUCUUGGCCCAUGUAAUAAAAGCUAAGAAUGACAGCUAACGUGCAUUAAACUCUCAUCAUGUGCCAGGCACUGGUCGAACCAUCUUACAUUAACUCAUUUAAUCCUUAUACUAAC
This 1394-nucleotide long non-coding RNA is filed under the name Equus caballus (horse). RNAcentral's name for it is "lncRNA (ENSECAG00000056919.1)". The record is from RNAcentral. Lineage: Eukaryota; Metazoa; Chordata; Mammalia; Perissodactyla; Equidae.